UACGUAGGGUGCGAGCGUUAAUCGGAAUUACUGGGCGUAAAGCGUGUGCAGGCGGUUCGUUAUGUCUGAUGUGAAAGCCCCGGGCUCAACCUGGGAAUGGCAUUGGAAACUGGCGAGCUGGAGUGUGGCAGAGGGGGGUGGAAUUCCCGGUGUAGUGGUGAUAUGCGUAGAUAUCGGGAGGAACACCUGUGGCGAAGGCGGCUUUCUGGGCCUUACCAGACGCUGAGACGCGAAAGCGUGGGGAGCGAACCGG
RNAcentral lists this ribosomal RNA (253 nucleotides) under uncultured bacterium. RNAcentral describes it as "partial 16S ribosomal RNA". It matches the Rfam family "Bacterial small subunit ribosomal RNA", at positions 524 to 776 of the family's 1533-position model. The record is from RNAcentral.